RNAcentral lists this ribosomal RNA (464 nucleotides) under uncultured bacterium. RNAcentral describes it as "bacterial SSU rRNA". It matches the Rfam family "Bacterial small subunit ribosomal RNA", at positions 917 to 1382 of the family's 1533-position model. The record is from RNAcentral.
GGACCCGCACAAGCAGCGGAGCAUGUGGAUUAAUUCGACGCAACGCGAAGAACCUUACCUGGGCUUGACAUACCUCUGACCGCCAUGGAAACAUGGCUUCCCUUCGGGGCAGAGAUACAGGUGGUGCAUGGCUGUCGUCAGCUCGUGUCGUGAGAUGUUGGGUUGAGUCCCGCAACGAGCGCAACCCCCGUCCUAUGUUGCCAGCAUUCAGUUGGGGACUCAUAGGAGACUGCCGGUGACAAACCGGAGGAAGGUGGGGAUGACGUCAAGUCAUCAUGCCCCUUAUGUCCAGGGCUUCACACGUGCUACAUUGGCGCAUACAGAGGGCUGCGAUACCGCAAGGUGGAGCGAAUCCCAAAAAGUGCGUCUCGGUUCGGAUUGGGGGCUGAAACUCGCCCCCAUGAAGGCGGAGUUGCUAGUAAUCCCGGAUCAGCAAUGCCGGGGUGAAUACGUUCCCGGGUCUU